This is a microRNA precursor of Monodelphis domestica (gray short-tailed opossum), 62 nucleotides long. NCBI's taxonomy places the organism in Eukaryota, Metazoa, Chordata, Mammalia, Didelphimorphia, Didelphidae. The record is from Ensembl.
ACUGGCGUAUAGUUGGUAAUCAGUUAAGAAACAUUUAUAAAUUACCAACUAUACGCUAGUGC